RNAcentral lists this non-coding RNA (45 nucleotides) under Trichobilharzia regenti. The record is from RNAcentral. Lineage: Eukaryota; Metazoa; Platyhelminthes; Trematoda; Strigeidida; Schistosomatidae.
CACUGGCUGACGAGUCCCAAAUAGGACGAGAUGCGCAUCCUGAUG